This 467-nucleotide ribosomal RNA is filed under the name Veillonella sp. oral taxon G61. Its description in RNAcentral is "bacterial SSU rRNA". It matches the Rfam family "Bacterial small subunit ribosomal RNA", at positions 38 to 474 of the family's 1533-position model. Lineage: Bacteria; Bacillati; Bacillota; Negativicutes; Veillonellales; Veillonellaceae. The record is from RNAcentral.
GGCGGCGUGCUUAACACAUGCAAGUCGAACGAAGAGCGAUGGAAGCUUGCUUCCAUCAAUCUUAGUGGCGAACGGGUGAGUAACGCGUAAUCAACCUGCCCUUCAGAGGGGGACAACAGUUGGAAACGACUGCUAAUACCGCAUACGAUCUAACCUUGGCAUCGAGGAUGGAUGAAAGGUGGCCUCUAUUUAUAAGCUAUCACUGAAGGAGGGGAUUGCGUCUGAUUAGCUAGUUGGAGGGGUAACGGCCCACCAAGGCGAUGAUCAGUAGCCGGUCUGAGAGGAUGAACGGCCACAUUGGGACUGAGACACGGCCCAGACUCCUACGGGAGGCAGCAGUGGGGAAUCUUCCGCAAUGGACGAAAGUCUGACGGAGCAACGCCGCGUGAGUGAUGACGGCCUUCGGGUUGUAAAGCUCUGUUAAUCGGGACGAAAGGCCUUCUUGCGAAUAGUUAGAAGGAUUGACG